UGGACGAGUCAUCAGACGUUGAGGAGGAGGUCGAGUUCUGCAGUGGCAGGUACUCUAUCGAUUCCUCGCCGGCCAGCUGCGAGGACCUCCCCCACCACACCGCUGUGCCCCUCUGCCCCAACGUGCCAGGGCAGCAGUAGAGCUACUACUCCAGCGACGGAUACUAGGCUCUCGGCUCCUACAGGGAGACAGCGCAGCAAGGGCCAAGCCGUGGCCGGAGCAGGCGCGCUGUGCAGCAUAUGUGGAGGAGUACUCCGACUCUGCUGGUAGCUCUGAGUUCUUCUCAAUUUGUUUACCCCCUGCUUCAUUCUCUGCCAUAUCAAAUUAGAUGGCACCGUUUCCUACUCUGUUCCAAUCCUUUGUUGCAUAUGGAAGCUCCAACAUUUUCUCUAGGCUUGGCGACAAAGAUCCACUGCUCUAGCCUCUAGGUGGUAUUGCGAGCAUGGCCACAUUGAAGUUCCUAAGCUCUAGUGCCUACAUUAGAAAUUAAAGACACCAUCGCUAUGCCUCUCCUAGACUGACUGACA
Molecule: non-coding RNA, 527 nt
Organism: Lolium perenne
Lineage: Eukaryota; Viridiplantae; Streptophyta; Magnoliopsida; Poales; Poaceae
Source: RefSeq, a predicted model, not a curated record